RNAcentral lists this unclassified non-coding RNA (220 nucleotides) under Hevea brasiliensis (rubber tree). The record is from RNAcentral. Lineage: Eukaryota; Viridiplantae; Streptophyta; Magnoliopsida; Malpighiales; Euphorbiaceae.
GAUUUCUUGUUUAGAGAAAACAAGUUGUGCGUGCUGAAUUGCUCCAUGAGAGAAUUGUUUGUUAGAGAAUCACAUAAAGGUGAUUUAAUGGGUCAUUUUGAGGUAGCUAAGACUUUAGAUAUCUUGAAAGAACAUUUCUUUUGGCCACACAUGAGGAGAGAUAUAGAAAAAAUAUAUUCUAGAUGCAUAACUUGUAAGAAGGCUAAGUCUAAAGUUUUGC